This is a long non-coding RNA of Drosophila hydei, 641 nucleotides long. RefSeq lists it as uncharacterized. Lineage: Eukaryota; Metazoa; Arthropoda; Insecta; Diptera; Drosophilidae. The transcript has 4 exons. The record is from RefSeq and is a predicted model, not a curated record.
CUCAGUCGUCUCUUGUCAAGUUAAAAGUUCAGUGAAAUGUGGAUUUUAAUGUUUGUUCCGUGUUCUCUUGCCUUCAUAUCGAGUACAGUCCCAUAAUGUUUUCGGCAAUUCUUUAUUGAUUGUCAAGUAAGCCAAAAGCCGAACCCUCUGUCAAUCUGGGACAGUGGACUAAAUGACACAAACUCACACGAAGCAAUGGACACUAGAGCGGCUACAUGGAUUUGCUCCGAUAGCAAUUUGUUGUCGUGCUGCAAGAGAGGGGAGUCGAACGACUUGACUGGGAGCUGGGAGCUGGGCGCUGGGAGCUGGAGGCCGAGUUGAAAUCGUUGCUGGCCAAUACACUUGAGUGAUUGAACAUCAAGAGAAGUUCAGGACCAGUAAACAGCAGCGAGUAAUCAGCGCCUGCACUGAACUAUAUGAACCAGAGGACUGGAGCACUAGAGGACUAGAUGGCCAGAGGAGUGGAGCUCGCACACUUUGCUAGUGUUGCCCUGAGAACUCUGGGAACCCCUUUUUCUGUUCUGGCAGAGGCGUGGGCGAGGAAGGGGCAGCUGAAGGGGAAGGGGCAGUGGCCGGCUGUUGGCGAGCUUGAAACUGAUGCCCGGCACGUGGACAUGACGAGAAGCUCAUCAUCAUGAUGA